GAUGAAGAACGCAGCGAAAUGCGAUACUUGGUGUGAAUUGCAGAAUCCCGUGAACCAUCGAGUCUUUGAACGCAAGUUGCGCCCGAAGCCAUUAGGCCGAGGGCACGCCUGCCUGGGCGUCACACGUCGUUGCCCCCCCCAUCUACUCCUUCGGGAUUGCGGGGGGCGGAUGAUGGCCUCCCGUGCGCCUCGCCGCGCGGUUGGCAUAAAUGCCAAGUCCUCGGCGACGCACGCCACGACAAUCGGUGGUUGCGAAACCUCGGUUGCCCGUCGUGUGCGGUCGUCGCGCAUCGAGGGCUCGAAAAAAUUGCCGGGUUUCGACUCGGCUUUCAACGCGACCCCAGGUCAGGCGGGGUUACCCGCUGAAUUUAAGCAUAUCAAUAAGCGGAGGA
RNAcentral lists this unclassified non-coding RNA (392 nucleotides) under soil metagenome. RNAcentral describes it as "partial contains 5.8S ribosomal RNA, internal transcribed spacer 2, and large subunit ribosomal RNA". The stretch from base 1 to 122 matches the Rfam family "5.8S ribosomal RNA", at positions 35 to 154 of the family's 154-position model. The record is from RNAcentral.